GCCGAUAUGUUGCCUUUAUCUGCAUUUGCACCUGCACUUUAAGUACUCAGUUUCUCUGUGACAUAUAAAUAAUAUAACUAUGUCAGUUGAGGACUGAAGAGAUCAAUAUAUUAUUAUAUAAUAUGGGAAUAGAGGGACCGAGAACGAGGUGCAGGUGCAUCUGCAGGUGAAUGCCAUAUUGGA
This 183-nucleotide microRNA precursor is filed under the name Glycine max (soybean). Its description in RNAcentral is "MIR530 microRNA precursor family". It matches the Rfam family "MIR530 microRNA precursor family". The record is from Rfam by way of RNAcentral. Lineage: Eukaryota; Viridiplantae; Streptophyta; Magnoliopsida; Fabales; Fabaceae.